This 253-nucleotide ribosomal RNA is filed under the name uncultured bacterium. RNAcentral's name for it is "partial 16S ribosomal RNA". It matches the Rfam family "Bacterial small subunit ribosomal RNA", at positions 524 to 776 of the family's 1533-position model. The record is from RNAcentral.
UACGGAGGGGGCUAGCGUUGUUCGGGAUUACUGGGCGUAAAGCGCGCGUAGGCGGGCUGUUAAGUCGGGGGUGAAAUCCCGGGGCUCAACCCCGGAACUGCCUUCGAUACUGGCAGCCUAGAGGAAGGCAGAGGCUAGUGGAAUGGCGAGUGUAGAGGUGAAAUUAGUAGAUAUUCGCCGGAACACCAUUGGCGAAGGCGACUGGCUGGGCCUUUUCUGGCGCUGAGGUGCUAAAGCGUGGGGAGCAAACAGG